UAAUGCUGCUUGCUUAAUUUCGUGUUACUGAUUAAGUGUUUAUACUUAAAGUUAGAUGAUAUGUUGAUGUUUUAUGGCUCGCGGAUUUGCAAUAACUGCAUUUAUCAGGCAAUCACACGUUACGUCACACGCUUAUGCUUGUACCUGCGGUCGCUCGCGCUGUAUCCAUGAUUUAAAGCAGAGAAUAGACUCUUAACUCCUUUGUAAGAAAAAGUCAAGCAGUAGCCCUUCAAAUUAAACAUAGUGAUGGUGAUCUUGUCAAUGCUGAGAUUUUAAUGCAUCAACAGCCAUUACAUCUGUCUGGAUCAGGAUUGAACAAGAAACAGACAGCAAGAGUUGUCAGGUCAGAAACGUGAUGACACACAAACAUAAGAAACUUCACAGGCGGCAAUUUCUUUUUCCACCGGUGGGUGCUCAUCACAACCUCCAGCUUUACUGGACGCCAGGUGCUCUGGAGCGCUCAAAAGCUUUGAAGAGGUGGAAAGCAGUGCAGUCAUGUUUUCGUGUGAUUUUAGAUGCGAAUUGUAAAGUUAAAGGCAGAUCACCGUGCAACUUGGUGAAGUCAUGUGUCUUUCCAGAUGCCAAAAUCUGUACCCCUCAAAAAGACUUUAUUAAAUGCCAUGAUAGCCAAGAUGAGCCUGAAGAGGAGAUUUGGGAAGAUGCUGUUUCAUAAGUCUUUGCUUUGCCAGAUUAUCUGUGGUAGGGGUGUCUGCCAACGUGAUGCCUUGCUGGUUUGGUUUGAGUUUGAAGUCUCUCACAGACAGUCCAGAAGGUCUGGAGUCCAUCUUAGCUUUCAUUGAUGCUGUCAUCAUAUUUUAAGUGCAUAAGCCAGAAUGGAUGGGUGGUGGUGACCAUAAAAAGACUGUCAACUAAACCAACAACAAAAUUCAUAUUUGCAGUAAUAAAUAAAAUGACUUUUAAACAUGAUUUUGUUUUCUUAUUUUAUGAUUUUACUUUAUAUUUGGAAUAUUCCACUUUUGCACUACUAACUGGAAACUG
Molecule: non-coding RNA, 999 nt
Organism: Misgurnus anguillicaudatus (oriental weatherfish)
Lineage: Eukaryota; Metazoa; Chordata; Actinopteri; Cypriniformes; Cobitidae
Source: RefSeq, a predicted model, not a curated record